Daphnia pulicaria is the source of this 611-nucleotide long non-coding RNA. RefSeq lists it as uncharacterized. The record is from RefSeq and is a predicted model, not a curated record. The transcript has 2 exons. NCBI's taxonomy places the organism in Eukaryota, Metazoa, Arthropoda, Branchiopoda, Diplostraca, Daphniidae.
AGCUGAGAUCUUGAAUUAAUUUCAUCUGUGAGACUCUUGCUCCUGGACGAAACCGCUUCUAUGCAUUCGAAAUAUAUCAACUGGGCUCUCGAAGCCAACCACCCCCAAAGCACCCCAGCUGAUCAACGUUUACAUGAACGAACAGGACCCAAGUACAAGGGUAUCGGUGCUACCUAUGACGAAAUCCCCUUAUCGAGUCAGAUGUGGGCCUACUGGUUAACGCGUUCAGAAAAGCUUGUGUUGACAAAAGCUCUCGAUUCCUGAUUAACCGUUGGGGCCUAUAUCUGAAGGCGAAACAGUUUGAGUUUACGUCAGACGUAGUGAGUCUAUUAAUUUAUUAUUGAAACUCGUCGCACGCCCCUCGAAAGCAGCCAGGAAAAUAAAGGAUCUCAUUCGUUCAUGUUCCUUUCCAUGGCGUUGUUGUUGAAUGGCGCUUUUCUAUAACUAUAGUCGGGAGAAACAAACAAUUAAAACUCGAACCUAUAGUAGACGGUUUUCAAUGGUGCCAUAGCGCACAAGCAGGCAAAGUUCCCUCGAAGUUUAAACUUUGCUAAGGCUCUCAAGAGUCUAAUGGGUGGGUAACCCCCUCUCCCCUCAUGGACUGCCAAAAA